CAGCGUUUAAGGUACUCGGUA
This 21-nucleotide non-coding RNA is filed under the name Rattus norvegicus (Norway rat). Lineage: Eukaryota; Metazoa; Chordata; Mammalia; Rodentia; Muridae. The record is from RNAcentral.